GACGAACGCUGGCGGCGUGGAUUAGGCAUGCAAGUCGAACGGUAUCAUCCUUUCGGGGGUGAGAGAGUGGCGAACUGGUGAGUAACACGUAGGUUAUCUACCCUCAAGACGGGGACAACCCAGGGAAACUUGGGCUAAUACCGGAUGUGAGCAACUUUUAGUUGUUUGAAAGGUGGCGUAAGCUGUCGCUUGGGGAUGAGCCUGCGUCCUAUUAGUUAGUUGGUGAGGUAACGGCUCACCUAGGCAAUGAUAGGUAGGCGGCCUUAACGGGUGGUCGCCCACACUGGGAUUGAGAUACGGCCCAGACUCCUACGGGAGGCAGCAGUCGAGAAUAGUCUACAAUGGUCGGAAGACUGAUAGUGCGACGCCGCGUGAACGAUGAAUCCCUUCGGGUGUAAAGUUCUUUUAUAUGUGAGCAGUGCUUCUUAUAUUAACAGUAUGGGGAGAGAGAUAUUAGACAUAUGAAAUAAGCAAACGGCUAAACUCCGUGCCAGCAGCCGCGGU
This 504-nucleotide ribosomal RNA is filed under the name uncultured bacterium. Its description in RNAcentral is "bacterial SSU rRNA". It matches the Rfam family "Bacterial small subunit ribosomal RNA", at positions 28 to 521 of the family's 1533-position model. The record is from RNAcentral.